This 775-nucleotide ribosomal RNA is filed under the name uncultured Neocallimastigales. Its description in RNAcentral is "partial large subunit ribosomal RNA". It matches the Rfam family "Eukaryotic large subunit ribosomal RNA", at positions 26 to 631 of the family's 3401-position model. Lineage: Eukaryota; Fungi; Neocallimastigomycota; Neocallimastigomycetes; Neocallimastigales. The record is from RNAcentral.
CGCAUCUGUGCAUGCAGCAUAUCAAUAAGCGGAGGAAAAGAAACUAACAAGGAUUCCCUUAGUAACGGCGAGUGAAGCGGGAAGAGCUCAAAUUUGAAAUCUUCAAGGUUUUACCUUGACGAAUUGUAGUUUAAAGAAGUGUUUUCUGUUGAAGUUUUGGUAAAAGUUCUUUGGAAUAGGACAUCAUAGAGGGUGAGAAUCCCGUAUUUGACCAUUAUUUUCAGCUGUGUGAUACACUUUCAAAGAGUCGGAUUGUUUGGGAAUGCAGUCCAAAAUGGGUGGUAAAUUUCAUCUAAAGCUAAAUAUUGGCGAGAGACCGAUAGCGAACAAGUACCGUGAGGGAAAGAUGAAAAGAACUUUGAAAAGAGAGUUAAACAGUACGUGAAAUUGUCAAAAGGGAAGCGUUUGACACCAGUGUUGUUUUCUCGAAAAUCAAUUAAAAAGAGUUAGAUUUUGUUGUGUAUUGACCUUAACAGCAUUGCAUUUCAAUUUUCUUGCUUUUUUUGAUGCACUUUUCGUUUAACAAGUCAACAUCAGUUUCUUUUGUUGUAAAAAGGUCAUUGGAAGGUGGCUUUCUUUUCGGAGAAAGUGUUUAUAGCCUUUGACUCCUGCAAUCGGAGAGACUGAGGUCUGCAGCGUAGAUCCUUCGGGGUUAGAUACAUUUGUGCUAAGUUAUAGCUUUUUAUAGACAACUUGUUGACUAUGAUUAGUCUUGUAGCUUACUCGCUUAUGCUAUUUUACCUACGCUUAGGAUGUUGAUGUGAUACUGCGAGCA